AUGAACGCUGGCGGCGUGCUUCACCCCUGCCAGUCGAACGGAAAGGCUCCUGCUUGCAGGGGUACUCGAGUGGCGAACGGGUGAGUAACACGUGGGUGAUCUGCCCUGCACUUCGGGAUAAGCCUGGGAAACUGGGUCUAAUACCGGAUAGGACGAUGGUUUGGAUGCCAUUGUGGAAAGUUUUUCGGUGUGGGAUGAGCUCGCGGCCUAUCAGCUUGUUGGUGGGGUAAUGGCCUACCAAGGCGUCGACGGGUAGCCGGCCUGAGAGGGUGUACGGCCACAUUGGGACUGAGAUACGGCCCAGACUCCUACGGGAGGCAGCAGUGGGGAAUAUUGCACAAUGGGCGCAAGCCUGAUGCAGCGACGCCGCGUGGGGGAUGACGGCCUUCGGGUUGUAAACGCCUUUCGCUAGGGACGAAGCGUUUUGUGACGGUACCUGGAGAAGAAGCACCGGCUAACUACGUG
This 465-nucleotide ribosomal RNA is filed under the name uncultured bacterium. RNAcentral's name for it is "partial 16S ribosomal RNA". It matches the Rfam family "Bacterial small subunit ribosomal RNA", at positions 29 to 507 of the family's 1533-position model. The record is from RNAcentral.